GGAGGAGGACGCCGAAGGUGGGGCUAAUGACUGGGGUGAAGUCGUAACAAGGUAGCCGUACCGGAAGGUGCGGCUGGAUCACCUCCUAACAGGGAGACAACAAAAUGUUUAAUUUUAUAAUUUUGUCACCUUAGGUCGAUCGGUAUCUCACUUUCUUAACUUAUUAAGAAUUUCAUUUCCUAAGUUUUUCUAGGUCACACCCAUUAUUUUUCCUGGGCCAUUAGCUCAGGUGGUUAGAGCGCACCCCUGAUAAGGGUGAGGUCCCUGGUUCAAGUCCAGGAUGGCCCAUAUCUCUAUGUUGGGGGUAUAGCUCAGUUGGUAGAGCGCCUGCUUUGCAAGCAGGAUGUCAGCGGUUCGAGUCCGCUUACCUCCACUGAUUACCACCUCUUCCAUAAACGGUAGAAAGGAAAUGUUUUGAGUUGUGAUCAAAUUCUGAAAGAAUCUAGCUUCCUAAUGAAAUCAUUAAGAUGCUGGACUCAUUGAAUUAAUUUCAUUGUUUUCAGAGAACCUUGACAACUGCAUAGAUUAUUUUUAAAGACAAUAAGCAUCUUUAAUGAUGCAGAUUUAUUAUUUGUGCGAAUGCAUUAAUAACAAUUCUAUUAAGCUGAUGCUUCAAUUUUUGAAGUUAUUGGUCAAGCUACAAAGGGCUCACGGA
RNAcentral lists this unclassified non-coding RNA (655 nucleotides) under uncultured Prochlorococcus sp. RNAcentral's name for it is "partial may contain 16S ribosomal RNA, 16S-23S ribosomal RNA intergenic spacer, and 23S ribosomal RNA". The stretch from base 301 to 373 matches the Rfam family "tRNA". The record is from RNAcentral. Lineage: Bacteria; Bacillati; Cyanobacteriota; Cyanophyceae; Synechococcales; Prochlorococcaceae.